Talpa occidentalis (Iberian mole) is the source of this 534-nucleotide long non-coding RNA. RefSeq lists it as uncharacterized. The record is from RefSeq and is a predicted model, not a curated record. Lineage: Eukaryota; Metazoa; Chordata; Mammalia; Eulipotyphla; Talpidae. The transcript has 3 exons.
GAACACAGCCCUGGAACGGAAGAUGGCAGAUGUGGGGUGGCUGUCAAGGGGGACCCUCGAAUCACGGACUCUGGGAAGCUCUCCAGGAGAAGGGACAGGCAAGCUGGAUCCUGAGGACAGCGGUGCUUAGGCAGGAGCAGAAAGGCCAUGGGCAGGAGCGCCCAGUUCAGUCCUGAACGUGAGCUUGGAGGCCUGGGCACGCCCCCUCCGGAACUUCCACUAAGGGGUCCCCUCAGCCGCCCAAGAGAGGAGAUGGCCCAGGACAAGCAGGAGAAAGGCCCCCCUACAGUCACAGGACCCCACACCCAACCCCGGCUGGGACUGGGGGAAAUAGCUACAGAAACUGUGAGCAGAAACGAGGGCGCUGGGCUCUGAGUCUUACAGGAAAAAGACUGCACCCCACAGCCAGCCCAGCACCUCAGUGCAAUGCCUGGCACACUUCAGCACCCAAGAAAAGUUUGGGGGAGCAAAACAACCAGUACACUUAUGACUGCAGACAGGGGAUCGCUGUGUGGGAAAUACGAGGGAUUUGGA